UGCCGUCCUAGCUCAGUUGGUAGAGCACUCGGCUGUUAACCGAACGGUCGCCGGUUCGAGUCCGGCGGACGGCGU
This 75-nucleotide transfer RNA is filed under the name uncultured archaeon. RNAcentral describes it as "tRNA-Asn(gtt)". It matches the Rfam family "tRNA". Rfam says of the family: Transfer RNA (tRNA) molecules are approximately 80 nucleotides in length. The record is from RNAcentral.